Oncorhynchus kisutch (coho salmon) is the source of this 2538-nucleotide long non-coding RNA. RefSeq lists it as uncharacterized. The transcript is spliced from 3 exons. Lineage: Eukaryota; Metazoa; Chordata; Actinopteri; Salmoniformes; Salmonidae. The record is from RefSeq and is a predicted model, not a curated record.
GGGGAAGUUUAUUCAACAUUCUGACUGUUAAUAGCCUGCCCGGGAAUACUGAGUUUACAUAGAGUGCGUAAAUGUUUCACUCUAGGAUUCUAAUUGAGGAUAUCGCCUCGCUAGUCUUCAGGCACUGGUUACCCUCCUUGUGUGCAUGAUAAAGGCAAGAAAAUAUAUCCGUAAUUUUCAAUAGCUACACAUUGUUAUUCAUCAAUAGAAAACAAUACAGUUUCUUAGUAGCGAGUAAGUGCACAAUAAACACAAAUGAUUCAUGUAUUUGAAUAUUUACCAGUUAUGCGAGGUUUAUAGCUAUUUGAUACUCGCUGGACCAAUAUUAGCAAGCUAACUGGUAGCUUGCUAAUACUGAAUUAUGACAAUUUUAGCCCGUACAUCUCUAAAUAAACAUAUUUCAGAUCACUUGAUAAAGCCUUUAUCGGGACAUGUACCAAAAUGUAGUUGGAAACACCAUUGUUAUAUUUAAAUCUAUCAUUAGCCAGCUGCUACAAGAUAUUCUUACCUGCUAAAAACGUAGCCUCUUUUCUUUAUUGACACAAAACAAAGGGACAAGCCCAUUACUGGCACCUACUGGUUGGAGUCUGAACAAAGUGCCUGCUUUUUUACAUUUCGUGCAAUUAUUUUUAACUAUAUAUGUCAAUCUAUAUUUUGCCAGUGAGUUCUACCACAGUAAUUUAUUGUGCUUCCGUAAGAACAUUCAACAUUUGCGCUUUUAAUGUGCAAACUUUUCUUUAGUAGGCAUGGCAGUAGGCAGGCCGGGCAACAUAACGUUUUAAUCAUUGUGGUAGCUUGCUGUGUAACUUAAUGUUAUGAGAGUUGAGAGAGAUCCAUUCCACAUUGAACCGACAGAAAGAACUGUACUGUAAAUGGACAGUGGAGGAAGAGGACGUGGAAGGGGGAAGUCAGGUAAUCGUGAAGAGGACAAGGAUGCUCGCCUGUCCAAGUCUCUGUCCUUUGCUCUGCACUAUGGAGCCAAUCAGAUGGAACUUCACAUAAAUCCUGUUAUAAAAGCAUCUUAUUUAAUCCCACUGUUCCAUCAUUUCAUAUUGCUGCACUAUAAACAUGAUAUGCACCCCUACAAUCUUUACUCCUCAUUUACACUGAGUGCACAAAAAAGUUUGGAUUGAUUGAUUGAUUUUGUCCGGGGGAAAAAAACAUACAUACCACUAAGAUGACCGGGAUUGCACCGUAAAGUUGGGGAUUUAUUUCCAUUGUGGUCCCUUUUUUUUUUUUUUACAUAAAUACAUAAACAAUUACAUAGAGACGAAAAAAUGCUGAAUCUCCAGAUGAGUAUGAUGUGGUUUUAAGUACAAUUCUUACAAGUUUGUUUGGCUGGUAGCUUAUUCCUUAGAUGUUUGUGGCUGCACACAACCAUCCCGUGUCCCCCCCAAAAACACAACCCUUCCUUGUGUCCCCCCCCCAAAAACACGAAACCCUCCCCUCUGUCCCCCCCAAAAACGCACUACCCUCCCAAAAGAAAAAAGAAAAGGUUGGCAACCCUCCCGUGUUUUGAACCACCCCUCACCCCAGUCCGAUCUGUCCCUAAGCACUGUGAAAUUAUUUGUUGCCCAAAUAAGGAGGGCUUUCUGGGAAGGCUUAAUAGCCUACUCCUAGCUUUACAAGCAUGCUCAAUUAAUGAUUUCUUUAAGUGCUUUAAGUCCUGGGAUAUGCUUAAUCUUGGUCUGGGAAACUUGCCAUAGAGCCUCUCAUAGAUGGGCUUACUUUGAUGUCUGUAUCCUCCCUUUGCUUCAGGCAUGAGGAGAGACUGUGACCUGGCCAUAUUCACUGAUGUCCCCAAAGCCUUGUCUGAUAACUUAAAGUAUCAGAGUGCUGUCAUUGUCUAAAUGCAUAAGUAUUUUUCUUUAUGUGUUUCUGGUUUUUGUGCAGAGGCUAUCCAGUCCUUCUGGCUGGAGAACGGUGUAUUGCUGACACGUGGGGAUACUGAGGGGGAAACUACUUCCCCGCCCUAAAACUAAGACCCACAUAGAGUAUUCUGCCACUGGAGUAGGUGAAGAGGCUUAUCUGCGCUUCGGAGGUAAAAGACAUGGCUGAGUUUGUCAUCAGACAGCUGUCGAUUUCCAGUUCUGUCUAGACUGUUUCCAUGGAAACGGAUACUGUUCGGAACCAGAACCCGAAGACUGAAUGAAGACUAUGAGUCUGAAAACACCAUCAACAACAGCUCUAUUACCAUACAGGCCACAGUACAGGCACAGAGACUGACGGGUGUUCCUGAUAACACUGUCACAUGACUGGAAGACACAAAAGGAUGCUAUCUAUCACAUGGGAAGCAGAAGGCACAAGCUGUGGUUUUGUCAACGGACAGUCUCAACUGUUCCACAGAGAUAGGAAAACACACACACACCGCAUGCCUUCCUGUGGCUUCCUGUGCAUUUAGCAACAUUUCUGGAAACUGCCACCAUACUCGAGGACAUUCAACCAUCAAGCCAAAUGCCUCAUAGGGAAAUUAAAACGGUCAACUUUUUUAUGUAUGUCAAUAAACAUAUUUAAUUCUGGAUUUCAGAAUUGACAAUU